AAGAGUUUGAUCAUGGCUCAGAUUGAACGCUGGCGGCAGGCCUAACACAUGCAAGUCGAACGGUAACAGGAAGCAGCUUGCUGCUUUGCUGACGAGUGGCGGACGGGUGAGUAAUGUCUGGGAAACUGCCUGAUGGAGGGGGAUAACUACUGGAAACGGUGGCUAAUACCGCAUAACGUCGCAAGACCAAAGAGGGGGACCUUCGGGCCUCUUGCCAUCAGAUGUGCCCAGAUGGGAUUAGCUUGUUGGUGAGGUAACGGCUCACCAAGGCGACGAUCCCUAGCUGGUCUGAGAGGAUGACCAGCCACACUGGAACUGAGACACGGUCCAGACUCCUACGGG
Molecule: ribosomal RNA, 342 nt
Filed under: Salmonella enterica subsp. enterica
Lineage: Bacteria; Pseudomonadati; Pseudomonadota; Gammaproteobacteria; Enterobacterales; Enterobacteriaceae
Description: bacterial SSU rRNA
Rfam family: Bacterial small subunit ribosomal RNA
Source: RNAcentral